This is a long non-coding RNA of Heterocephalus glaber (naked mole-rat), 1320 nucleotides long. The record is from Ensembl. Lineage: Eukaryota; Metazoa; Chordata; Mammalia; Rodentia; Bathyergidae.
GCUUCAUAACGUUUUUUAAAAAUAAUGUGUGACAAAAGCUGAACUACAUAAAAGAAGAGCAGAAUUAGUAAACUGCACUGCUCAUUGGAAAAGAAAAAGUCUCACUAAGGAAUAAAGAAGAGACCAUAACCACAGACACUGUGAGGAUCCGAGAGCAGCAUUCAGCCCCAUCUCCUACAUUGGAAGAAUGGAAAAAGCCAAACAUCCAUCACCUUUUUACUUUGACAAAUACAGUACUGUGUCCCAGCGACCCCAGAGGCUGAUAAUCACAGUGUCCUCCAUGCUGAAAGGGGAACUGAGGAAGGCCAAAAGCUCAUCCACCUUCUACUUAACGUAAUUUAUAGGAUUGAGGGAUCACGCAGAGGUGGUGGGUACUGUUGCCCAAGGCCCCGAGGAGAGACAGCAGAACUGCCUCAGAAGCAGGGGCAGAUUGUCGGGCUCCCAGGUGCCUGUGCUGGUCCCUUGCGGUUAUUCUGAGUUUCCCAGGACUAGUGGAAGAACUGAGGGCAGAGAUGCUGAUCAUCUCUGUCCUGGCCCCACCCCAAGGCUGAUAAUCCGGCGGCCCUCACCUCCCUCUUCCUGCCAUUUCCCAGAGCCAUGGAACUCCACAUGUCCUGCUACAAACAGCUGUCACUGCUCACUGGGGGAGCUGAGCCCAGAAAAGCGGCCCUUCCACAUCAGCUCACCUGGGAGAGGUGUUAGCAUCAUCCAGGGAUCAGGAGCCCUAGUAACGGGGAGUGCACAAACCCUGUUUCGUCUGAAUGCCCAAUGAGCAAGACACAUGGGUCACAAGGGACCUCGGAGGGAGAAGCCUCCUGCUGGGUCUGGGGGGGCUCCCUUCUGUAAUCCCAGCACCCAGGAGGCUGAGGCAGAUGGACCUCUUUGAGUAGGAAAUAUAUCUUAGAUCCUAAGGUUAUGAAUGGGGGACUCAGAAGUUAACUGUAUCACACUCAUAUGGCAGGUGCUAUGUGUCCUCGAACUCAAUUCUUUAAUCCAGGCCCAAAUAGAACAAAGAGGCAAAUAUUGCUGUAACCCAGAAAGAUCACCACUGUGCCCCUCUGCUGUUCCAGCUCCAUAGUCUGUGCCAGGCGUGCCCGGGGCUCUCUUAAAGCUGCUCCCUCAUCACUCCACGUCACCACAGUCUUAAACACCCAGAUCCUUCAUCUCCCAGCCCCUGUAUCCCCUUGCAGUACCCCAACUUCCAGAAUAAAUUCUGCUAUGGUCACUUAUUUUAUUUGACUAUUAUUUUUUGAGGGAGGGGAGUUGAGGUAAAGUCUUGCUUUGUGUCCAGGCUGACCUUGAGCUCACUAUGUAGCCAAG